Non-coding RNA from Mycena leptocephala, 94 nucleotides. The record is from the annotation of a GenBank genome assembly. Lineage: Eukaryota; Fungi; Basidiomycota; Agaricomycetes; Agaricales; Mycenaceae.
GCGCCCUUGGUGUAGCGGUAACACACAAUCCAGUUCUGCUUUUGUUCCAAACUCCUGAAAUGAUUGGGCCCGGGUUCGACUCCCCGAGAGCGCA